UACGUAUGUUCCAAGCGUUAUCCGGAUUUAUUGGGCGUAAAGCGAGCGCAGACGGUUAUUUAAGUCUGAAGUGAAAGCCCUCAGCUCAACUGAGGAAUGGCUUUGGAAACUGGAUGACUUGAGUGCAGUAGAGGAAAGUGGAACUCCAUGUGUAGCGGUGAAAUGCGUAGAUAUAUGGAAGAACACCAGUGGCGAAGGCGGCUUUCUGGACUGUAACUGACGUUGAGGCUCGAAAGUGUGGGUAGCAAACAGGAUUAGAUACCCUGGUAGUCAAGGGCG
This 279-nucleotide ribosomal RNA is filed under the name uncultured Weissella sp. RNAcentral describes it as "partial 16S ribosomal RNA". It matches the Rfam family "Bacterial small subunit ribosomal RNA", at positions 524 to 802 of the family's 1533-position model. The record is from RNAcentral. Lineage: Bacteria; Bacillati; Bacillota; Bacilli; Lactobacillales; Lactobacillaceae.